Molecule: unclassified non-coding RNA, 218 nt
Filed under: Hevea brasiliensis (rubber tree)
Lineage: Eukaryota; Viridiplantae; Streptophyta; Magnoliopsida; Malpighiales; Euphorbiaceae
Source: RNAcentral
UAAGGAGUUGCCCUCAGAGGUCGAUAAUUGGAGUUGCAAGAAUUCGAGAUUGAGUUGUGCUCGGUGAUUGUCCGUAGGUGUGCCUAGCCUGAUCAUCAGGAAUAGCGAGCGGGCCUGGCCUUUCCUAAAAGCUUAGGAGUCUCUGCCUGUUCAGCGAAAUUGGCUAUGAAGGAAACAGAAGCUUCGAGGAGCCAUAAAAUAAUCAGACAAAACGCCGA